This is a long non-coding RNA of Brassica rapa (field mustard), 8694 nucleotides long. RefSeq lists it as uncharacterized. NCBI's taxonomy places the organism in Eukaryota, Viridiplantae, Streptophyta, Magnoliopsida, Brassicales, Brassicaceae. The record is from RefSeq and is a predicted model, not a curated record.
CUGAGCCACCUCGUCUUCGAUUUUCCAGUCUGUUAUUUUGGUGGUGAUCUAGAUUGAAGAGAUUACAUUUCCAGGAGGGUUAGGAGACUAUUGAGAUGUGCCAUCAGCGAUUUUUUCACAAGUAUAUACUUAUGAUUAAACCGCAGUAUAGUGGAUUAAUCUUUUGUGUUUGGAUUCAUGCCGCUUUAGGUAGAGCCAUGGCAGGGUGAAUCUUUUCUUGUAUGUCCUGGUGGAAUAUUGAAUUUCGAAUGCAUCAUCUGAAUACAUAAAAUACACGUGAGCUGAAAUAAAUACUUAUGUUGCAAUUUAGAAAGUAUAAAAUUGACGGCUAUUAAGUUCUAGUUAUAAAUUAUAUAUUCAUUCAUGACAAUAUAUUAGACACAAAUGAAUAUUGUUGGUAAGAUUGAAAAAGUAAAAAUAAUCGAAAAUCAAGUAGAGAUAAACAUUUUAACGUUAUUCUUUUAUACCAUGUUCCCAUGGAGAGACGAUAUACAAUCGAGACUUUUAAACUGUUUUUUUUUGGACAACUGCUUUUUUUUAUACAUUUAAACUGUUUUAUCAUUUAAUGCUCAAAAUUAUUUUCUCUGCGAUUCCCUCAUUUGCAAUGACUUGCUUCAUGUUCCCUAUAAACAUGUACAAAAUGAUCCAGUCAGCUGUUACGCGUUUCUGGUAAAACUCUAACAUCGGCAAGAAAAAAAUAUGUUGGUUCUCCUGGGAUAAACUUACAAAGCCUAAAAGAAAGGGAGGCUUGGGUUUCAAAAACAUUAAAACCUUCAAUUAUGCCUUACUUGCGAAACUCCCAUAGAAAAUGCUCACAAAUCCAAACUGUCUUCUGGCUUGUGUCCUACUUGGAAAGUAAUGUCAUAAACCUUCCCUUCUUAAAGUCCAACCGUCAAAGUCCUCAUCACAUGGUUGGACAUACAUUUUAGCGGGAAAAAACUUGCUGAUUACCAAACUUGGAAGAACCAUUGGAAAGGAAAUAUAAGUUAAAAUAUGGUCUGACUCCUGGUUCACAACUUCCUCUCGAGUGGUUCUUUUUGGACCCCUCAAGGAGGGUGAUGGCGACAUGUAUGUGUCUGACUUGAUCAACCAAUGAUCCUGCGAGUGGAAUAUGAAGAUUAUUAACAAAAUAUUGCCAGACUUUGUGGAAGAUUUUCUUGCGAUCAAACCAAGCAAAAGACUCUUACAUUUGAUAUCCAACAAACUCUAGAAUCUACUUGACGAAAUCAGGCUACGCCUCUGUUGUCGCAAGUCAAGAGACUGCUCCGAACAGCUCCUCACCACCUAGCUUCUUCAAUUGGUAUAGACCAGUCUGAACCAUCUCUACUCUUCCCAAACUGCAACUCUUCCUCUGGAAGUCGAUACAAAGGGCUCUACCCACGGGAGAUAAUCUCCACAAAAGAGGAAUGUUGCAGAACACUUCAUGUAUCCACUGUGACCUGCUCAAAACAACAAAACACAUCUUUCUCCACUGCGCUUUUGCUUAACAGGUUUGGGAUUUGAUUCCCCUGGCCUCCGAUUUCAAACAAGACACGUGCUUAUCCUUCGUUGAUGCUGCGGAAGAAGCAGUCUUUUGGAAGUGUCUACCGCCGUGCGGUAUUCUGAGUGAUCUCUUCUCCUGGGUGUGUUGGGCCAUAUGGACCACCAGAAACAAACUUAUGUUUGAAACACGCCCGCAUCAGCCAUAGCUACGACUUCAAAGGCCUUGAUAGACGCUAGAAAAUGGACACAGGCUCAAGAACCUCGCACGGCUCUAUCGAGAACGACUCAGAUUCCAGUGCGGCCCCAAUCGAUUCCGCCUGAUGUAGUGACAUGUAACCCUGACGCUGCCAGGAAAAAGGAAUCGUCAGCUGCGGGGCUCACCUGGAUCUUCGACUCCUCCUCUCCUUUGUUUGCUUCCGACGGAUGUCAAUAUCAAUAGACAGUUCCAUCUGCCAUCAUGGCUGAAGGGUUAGCGGUUAGGGGAGCUCUCUCUCACGCUCAACACAUUGGCAUCACCAAAAUCUGGUUUCGUUCAGAUUAUCUAUCGCUCGUCAGAGCUAUAAAUUCGAUUGCAAAGCCGAUGAAUCUCUACGGAGUUCUAUCGGACAUCAAAUCACUAUCAUCAUUUUUUUAUUUCUUUUGUGUUUCUUUCGUCUUUAGAGAGUAAAAUGGGCUUGUAGACAAUCAGUCUAAGGCAUGUCUAUCUCACUCUAUAACAAUUUAGACCUCAUACCAUUAGUUUUUAAUGAAUGAUUGGUUUGAUUAAAAAAAAAACUGCUUUAUCAUUAAAUAAAUUGCAUCUUUGCCCAGGGGCGGAUCCAGGUAAAAAGAGAAUGUGGCACAGGUGCCACACUCAUUUUUACUUUUUCCUUAAUAAUUAACCUAAAUUUAUUUACAUACCCCUAACUUGUAUAUAAAUUAUAUUGAGUGCCCCAUAUUAUUUAAAGUUUUCGGUCCCCCUGUCCUUGCCUUAUUCGCCUUACAGGACAAAAAAAUACAUAUAUGCAAGAUUGUUGUCAGAUAAAUAUUUGAUCAUAUCAACAAUGAAAAAAAACAAGUUACAAAAAAAAAAACAAUGAAAAAAGGACAAGUGGUAUGAACAUUUCGCGUGUUGACUUGGCUUCUUAUUGCCGUCAUCUUCAUCAUUUUGUCCAGUUUGAAAAACAAACGCAGCCCCUAUUGUCGAUUUGCCAUAAAUCUACAACUUGCUAGAAUCCAUUCAAUUCACAGAUCUUAAAAACAUGAUAAUUUUAUAACUAUUGUAGAAGUUAUAUGUAAUUAACUAAUCAAACACACACACAAAUUUAUAGAAAGUGCCACUAAGAGAUCCAUGAUUGGUCAAGAAAACUUAUGCUAAGUUUAGAUAUUUUUAGUUAAAACAUAAAAUAUACCAACUAUCUCAUAAGUUUUGACAAGGAAAGUUGCUGAUUAUUUCAAGAAAUUGAAAUGUAUUGAUGCGUGAAGCAAUGCGGCUACAAUAUAAAUGAAUUCAACAAUUAUAUAGCCACGAUUUGGCAACCUAUAUUUAUAUAUGUUAUAGAUUGACUGCAUUAAAAUAUCUUAUUGGUGGCUAGUCUCAUGGAAUAUUAUAUUUUUAAGAAAUGGAUUAAUUGUUUGGCAUCUCUUAGACUCUGACUUUUCCUAAAACCUCGCCGUGGUUCUUGUACAACAUGUCAUGAAUUAUUUUUAUGAUUUCAAUAUUUCUAGAUAUUUGUUAUCAUCAUGUAUUAUUUUCCAACCAAUAUUUCUAGAUUAACAUAAUUAUUUUCAUUGCUCCUAAACUUAUUUAUUCUGCAAAUGCAAGAUUAAUCUAAUGUACAUAUAUGAUUCAUGCUACAUUAAUCAUGUAUGUCAUAAUGGAAGCUACUGUUCUAGGGAUCUCUUAGUUUGAUAGAGUGAGUUUAAAUACACAAAAAUACGCAACAGAAGGCGACAUGGAGAUAUUCCUUCAACCUCCCACAAUACAUCACUGAAUCAUAGACACGAAUCCACGCAACAGGCUUUAAUCUCUUUGACGCAUGUUAAGACAAUAGAUAUGAGGAUGGUCUCGUGCUAUUGUUUGCAUUCCGAUGAAAAUUUGCAAAACUUUCCGCCUUUAGUUUUACGUGCUUCAAGCUUGCGUAACUUUUAUUCUUCCUUACAAGUUACACCUAUAUGAAUUUAUUGUAAACAUGGUUUUAAAGAUAAAUACAAUUUAUCAUUGUUUUAAUAAAAUAAACACAAAAAAUACUGAGGGAUAGCAAAUGAUUUUAUACUCAAAAGUAAUCCUAUAGAUUAGUACGUAUAAUUUAUGAUGCUGCUGAAGCUUGGUUGUUGGCAAUGUUUACGACUUGAGCAGAACUAAUUUCCUUUUGUUAACAGUGUUAAAAGUAAAUUAACUUUCUUAGAGAGAAAAAAUCUGUUAGCUUUGUUUUACAGAACCUUCCACUUAAUUGAAAAUUAUAUUAGGUUUUUGCAAGUAUGGUGUGUUAAAAAAAAAAGGUUUUGCAAGUAUGGUUUUCGCCUUUUCGGUGAGGGUCUGUCUCCUCGUCGACGAUGGACGUUUUACUUUUCUCAUUUAAGCGAGCCGCUGCCUUUGGGCAUUUCUUCCCUACAUUUGUUCAUAUUCAUUCUCGUAAUGGGCUUUAUAUUCUAGAGUGGGAGUGUUACAAAAAAAAUUCUAGAGUGGGUAUUAUGUAAUACAUGGUUUUGCUCUUGUUAGCAUUUCUGUAUAAUGUAUAAAUUAUAGCAAAAAUAUAUUACUCUUUUCUAAAAGAUGUAUGUUUAUGUGUCCUUACCCAUAUCAACAAAACAUGAUAAAUUUUGAUAAUAAAUGUAUUAUUACCAAACUACCUAUUUUUGCAAUUUUAAACCAAUAGUAUUUUAAAAUACAAUUAAUGUUUUACAAUUCACCAUUAUUAACUUAUAAAUUGUGACCGGGUAAUUGUGGUCGAGUGGUAAAAAGACGGGACUGAAACACGUUUCAGGUUCAAUCUACAUGCUGUGCAAAACUAAGUCACAAUUAUCCUGGUCACCUAACACGAAUAUGAACCUAUGUUUUAAGGUCCAUUUGAAUAUCCAGAGAGAGGGUAGUCUGGACCUCUCCAUAGGUCUGGGAUACCCCAUGUUAAUCAAAAAAAAACUUAUAAAUUGUAUUAAAAACUUCAUCGAUAAACCUUUAAUUUAAAUAUUGAUCUUUUACGAGUAGAGAAAGUAUUAAAUAAGGUAAUGAGUAACUGUUGGUGAUGAAGUCAAUGUUUCUCCGUACUGACCUGGCUUGAGCAUAAAGCAUAUCCAACGUGUGAAGAGCAAGAAGACGGCCACUAAGAAAAUGAAUGAAAACAAGGAAAUAACAUAACUUCAACUGAAGUUUUUUCUCGUUAAAAUGUGUCUCACCUUCUAUAUUCAUACAAAGAGGAAUAGAUAUCUCCACACCCGGAUGAACAUAAACCAAUGCCACACAAAAACAAAGAAAAAUAGAAUUUACUUCUUUGCUGAGUUUGAUCGGUUGAUCACAUAUAAUUAGUUGAUUUAUUAGCGCAGAAGAAUUACCGGGCAAAUCUCCUUUGGCAGAGAACUCACUACAAAACAAUGCAUAAAGAGAUGCAAAGGUCAAGUAAUGGUUUCCUGCCAAUAGAGAUCUUGCCCUGUAAUGCAUUUUCACCUUUGAUACAUCUCAUUCUCCACAAUUGUAACCUGAAAAAUUCAAUGUUUGUAUUUAAAUACAAUCUUGGAGAGAAGCAUAUUCCAUGGUACAAUGCUACUGGAAUGUAAUUAAUACUGAGGUUUUAUUCCGAGAAUGAUCUUUUCUUUUCCAUAUAAUUUCUUAAGGAAUUUUUUUUUCAUGCCACAAGUUUUAUGCUUAGACAUUCCUAAAUAAAGCGCACUACACCACUUUUUCACGAUAUUAGAAUCCGUGGCACACAACAAGUUAAAGUAAAAAAAUCGAACAUGUAUUUAUUUCAGUUCACAAUAUUCAAUCUUUAUUUUUAAUUUAAGGAGUUAGUACCAAUGUAUAUUUCCUAGCAUGCAUGUGCUAAUCUUGAGAGUUAAACAUGGCUUUAUAAGUUUCUUCUAUUUACUACAAUAUAUUAUAUACUGUCAAUUUGUUCAAUUUAGAGAUCUCAGCCCAAUUUGCCUGAUUUGGAAGGGUUUCUACAAGACUAGUUGAGAUGUUUGUGACUUGAAUAAAAUGUGCUUGAGACCACUUGUUUAAGUGUUACAUAUAAAGAACUGACAAUAAAAUAAAAGAAAGUUUAAUUUGGAAAAAGGAAAAGAGACGGUAAGUAAUUAAUUAUUCAAAGUAGAAAGUGAUUCUCGAAAUGGAAGAUCCGUGGGAAUGUUCUUUCUAUUUUAUGAAGUUUCAAAAUGAAGACACAUAAAUUGCAGAAGCUCGAAACUGCAAUUUCCUUGCACUACAUAAUUAUAAUACUAUACAAAUAAAUAUAUACGUUAUAGCUGCAAAAUAAAGUCCAAUCAACUUUGUAAAAGAUUAAAGAUCUAGUUAUGUCGCAAUAUAAAGUACACUAACGCAAUUGACAAUGGAUAUAUAUAGUCAUUACUUUGGAGAUUCUUUCAAAGAUCCGUUCAUUUAAUUAUUUUUUCCUAUUAAAAAGGAAGUAAAAUAUAAUGAAACUGGCAUACUUUGUAUCAUAUUCUUGUAUCACUUUUAAGAUUUGCGAUUUUUUUUGAACAAUGACUCAAGACAAAACGUUCUUACUGGCAUGUAUGUACAGGAUAUUCUUAAGUAUAUCCAACUAUACCGCAGAUCAGAACUCUCAUAUAUUUACCGUUCGCGAAUUGUAACCAUCUUCCGUUAUGCUAAUAAUAAGCGUGCAUGAUAGUGGAAUCCUUAUGAUAUAUACGAGUUCUUGAGAUUGUACAUGAGGUCAAAAAAAGCGAUUUAUACAUUGUCAUCUAUUUUUUUGUUGUUGGGCAAAACAUUGUCAUGUAAAUAAAACUAUAACUUAAAUCAUAUUUGUUUGUAUUUAAAAUAUCAGAAAUUCCUACAUUUAGUUUUAAAUUUCAAGAGUUAAUACAAGAUCGGUUUUGAGCUCCGCCUUGGGGUCAUUAGUCUAUUAUUGUUCUUGUGGUAAGGAAAGAUCGUUGCUAAAAUAAUAGUUGUGAUGCAUUGCUAACACAUUUUUAUGAAAGAAAACUUAAAACAUGUAGAAAUCAAUUUCUGUAUAACGCUUUUAUUUUGGUAAUUAUUCCAAAAGAAUAUAUUUUAUGAGGAGGUUCCGAGCUGGAAUUGAAUUACAAGGAGUUUGUCCACUUGACAUUGCGUUUAGGAUACUGCAUAGUGCAUACAUAUAUGCUCUAAUGAAACAUGGGAUGUGCCACCGAAUAUGCUAAUAUAUAAGUCAUAAUGUGCAUAAAAUUAAACCAUAUACACUCUAUAUAUAGUGUUGCUGUGGUCAAAAUUUAGUUAUAACUCAAAAUAAAACGAAACAAUAGUAAGGAAAGAUCGAUAGUUGGGAAGAGAGGAAGAUGAUGCAUGGUUGAGUUACAGGGCAAAUACUCCAUUGGCAGAUAGUUUUCACUACAUCUAUAUUAUCUAAAUAUUAAUAAUAGUUGAUAUGUAUGAAAAAAAUGCUUUACUGCCAAAGGAGAUUUGCCCCGCAAUUCAUCCCAUGCAAUAGAACAUACGAGUCAUCUAGCACGAUCACAAGAGAAAGGUAAAAUAUUUUAGUUAAAGGUGAGAAGCACUUAUUUACUAUUGCUUAAAUACACCUGAAAUUUUGACUUCCCCUACGUAUAAAUUUUAAUCCCCCUUCCCUGACGGCUGACGUGUUACAAUAUUUAUAUAAUAUAUAAAAAGUUUGAGAACCUAAAUGAAAAAUGUGAAACAAAUCGAAUUAUGCAAGGCACAAGUAAGUCGUAACCAUACGUGAUACGUCAAAAUCUAUUUAUAUACAAGUCUGAAUUCCCUCACACACACACAAUCACCCGCCAAGAAACAGUUUUUUCUGAAGCUCUUACAUUCUUGAGGUAUCGAAAGAUGUAAAUAAGCGAGAGGUCAGAAAAUGUGUUGGGAGGCACGGGGAACCAGAGGAGCUUGUUGAAGGAGGGAAGCUCACUAUCAACAGAGCAGAGGAAGAAGGAGUGAGAGAAGAGAGUGUGUGUCUGAUUUAGAAGGUGAGGAGACAAAAGAGUUUAUAGAUUUAGGUUUUGUAUCCACAAAAGAAGACUUGAACGCGGAGUUGCCGGAGAUUCUUCCCGGACAUAUAUGGGAACAUUUCCCCACUGGGAAGAAGAGAGUAUAUUUGUUGGAAGCAUGGGAGUUUCAAAGUGAUAAACGGAGUGGAAGAUCAGAGAAAGAUUCAAUGGAUAUAGAUUUGAGAAUGACUUAAGUUAUGUGGUGACACGAACAUUAAGGAUAUUAGUAUUGUUUUUACUUAAGGAUAUUACAUUAAGGAUAUCUCAGAUGACAUCCAAUUUAUUUUACUUAUUCUUCAGUAACAUUUGUAUCUAUAUUACUAUUGUUUUUCCUUUUUCUAUGUAAAAAAUCUGAGAUUAGUGCUUUCAGAUCUGGAGCCAAAAAAUUAAGCCCACAAGAAGGACUUGUGCAGUUGUGCUUAAUCUCACUGUCUCUAAUUCACUUGUUCGAACAAGAAGAACUUGCAAGAAAUGUGAAACACACACUUUUUCUGUGGUCAAGUACACUCAUUUUAAUAUGAGCUCAUUCUCCGAACCAGAUCUUUCUCUCACCGGGAAACUUUUUACCACAAAGUCACGGACGACAACAGUUACUUCAAGCUGAAAAAAAAUUCUCCGUUGCCGGGACUCGAACCCGGGUCUCUCGGGUGAGAGCCGAGUAUCCUGACCAGCUAGACUACAACGGAUUGAUGCUUAUCGUUACCCUUAAUAUUUCAAAUCUUAAACAUCAAAGCUUGCGUCACAAAUCAUUGUCGGGUCAAAAAAUAACUAAAUAGAAGGGAUAAAAAGUGUAACGGUGCUUCUUCGCGGCCAUUGUUAACAGCUCAUGUCAAUUCGAAUUCGAUUUGGGCUGUUAGAGCAUCAUUAUCCCUUAGAGACACUUAGGAGUUCUUAAGCUUUUUUUAAUAAUUUUUAGUUAGAAAAGUGAGUUUAAGAGACUUUGUUAAGAGAUGAUAUAUUUGUGUGGUCCAUUGCAAGUUUCUUAUUUAAGGGUUCUUAAAAAAAUAAACAUUUUUUAUUAAACUUCAAAUUUAUUGAUAAAAUUAUUAAACAUAACAUUAUAAACAUAGAUUU